Molecule: unclassified non-coding RNA, 1387 nt
Filed under: uncultured Neocallimastigales
Lineage: Eukaryota; Fungi; Neocallimastigomycota; Neocallimastigomycetes; Neocallimastigales
Description: partial contains small subunit ribosomal RNA, internal transcribed spacer 1, 5.8S ribosomal RNA, internal transcribed spacer 2, and large subunit ribosomal RNA
Rfam family: Eukaryotic large subunit ribosomal RNA (bases 610-1387)
Source: RNAcentral
UUUCCGUAGGUGAACCUGCGGAAGGAUCAUUAAAAAAUGAGACCUGAUUUUCAGGUCUAUUAAUAAUCCCUACCCUUUGUGAAUUUGUUUUGUUUUAAAUAUGUGUCUUUCCCUGUUGGUUUGAAGCUUUGUUUAAAAGUUUCGAACUAGGGGAAUGGCAAAAGACUUUUUUUUAAAUUAAACUUUUUGUAUUCAUUUGUCUAAAAUUAUUUUUAUAAUAUAAAAGCAACUUUUGACAAUGGAUCUCUUGGUUCUCGCAACGAUGAAGAACGCAGCAAAAUGCGAUAAGUAGUGUGAAUUGCAGAAUACGUGAAUCAUCGAAUCUUCGAACGCAUAUUGCACUUUUUUGGUUUACCAAAAAAGUAUGUCUGUUUGAGUAUCAGUAAAAUAUUCUCAUAAAAACUAUUGUUUUUAUGGUUAUGAGUGUUUUACAACGAUAAACAAGUUGUUUCACUUUAAAUUCUUUGUCUUUUAAAAAAUCAUUAAAAACUGAUUUUUUUUUAAAAUUGGAUAAAAUUUUCCCGUAAAAAGGAAUAACCUAAACAAUUUUAAUUAAAAUUGGUUUGAUUUCUUUUAAGACUUUAAAGGAAAAAAAAGUAAAAAUUAACUUGAUCUCAAAUCAGAUAAGAGUACCCGCUGAACUUAAGCAUAUCAAUAAGCGGAGGAAAAGAAACUAACUAGGAUUCCCUCAGUAACGGCGAGUGAAGCGGGAAGAGCUCAAAUUUGAAAUCUUCAAGGUUCUACCUUGACGAAUUGUAGUUUAAAGAAGUGUUUUCUGUUGGAGUUUUGGUAAAAGUUCUUUGGAAUAGGACAUCAUAGAGGGUGAGAAUCCCGUAUUUGACCAUUAUUUCCAACUUUGUGAUACACUUUCAAAGAGUCGGAUUGUUUGGGAAUGCAGUCCAAAAUGGGUGGUAAAUUUCAUCUAAAGCUAAAUACUGGCGAGAGACCGAUAGCGAACAAGUACCGUGAGGGAAAGAUGAAAAGAACUUUGAAAAGAGAGUUAAACAGUACGUGAAAUUGUCAAAAGGGAAGCGUUUGACACCAGUGUUGUUUUCUCGAAAGUCAAUUAAAAAUGGCGGGAUUUUGUGUUGUAUUGACUUUAUCAGCUUUCUGCACUUUUUUCCUAUCUUUUUUAAUGCACUUUUCGUUUAACAAGUCAACAUCAAUUUCUUUUGUUGUAAAAGAGUCAUUGGAAGGUGGCUUUCUUUUCGGAGAAAGUGUUUAUAGCCUUUGACUUCUGCAAUCGGAGAGAUUGAGGUCUGCAGCGUAGAUCCUUCGGGGUUAGAUGCAUUUGUGCUAAGCUAUAGCCUUUCAUAGACAACUUGUUGACUAUGAUCAGUCAUGUAGCUUACUCGCUUAUGUCAUUUUACCUACGCUUAGGAUGUUG